GACAGAGGCCCCGAGCGUUAGUCGGAAUUACUGGGCUUAAAGGGUGCGUAGGCGGACCAGCAAGUGCUUUGUGAAAGCCCCCGGCUCAACCGGGGAACAGCGGGGCAUACUGCUGGUCUUGAGGAAGGUAGGGGUUGCCAGAACUGUAGGUGGAGCGGUGAAAUGCGUAGAUAUCGAGAGGAACACCUGCGGCGAAGGCGGGUUGCUGGGCUGACACUGACGCUGAGGCGCGAAAGCUAGGGGAGCGAACGGG
RNAcentral lists this ribosomal RNA (253 nucleotides) under uncultured prokaryote. Its description in RNAcentral is "partial 16S ribosomal RNA". It matches the Rfam family "Bacterial small subunit ribosomal RNA", at positions 524 to 776 of the family's 1533-position model. The record is from RNAcentral.